This 1213-nucleotide long non-coding RNA is filed under the name Ananas comosus (pineapple). RNAcentral describes it as "long non-coding RNA (ACOM_LNC005142)". Lineage: Eukaryota; Viridiplantae; Streptophyta; Magnoliopsida; Poales; Bromeliaceae. The record is from RNAcentral.
AGAUCCCCUCCGUUAUCCCUUUUUCUCUCUCUCUCUCUCUCUCUCUCUCUCUCUCUCUCUCUCUCUCUCUCUCUUCUUUUCUUUUUUGUUUUCCUUUCUUCUCCAUAGACCUCACCUCCCACCAAACCCUCCCUCCUCCACAGCACGCCCACCUCCCACCUCGCCCACUCGCCCCCUCGCCACAGUUUUUGCCCGCCCGCUUGCUCUCUCACUUUCUCUCUUUCUUCUUUUCUUUUUCUUUUUCCUUUCUUCUCCACAGAGCUUACCACCAAACCCUCCCUCCUCCAUACCCUGCCCAUCUCCCAUCUCGCCCACCUUGCCCACUCGCCCCCUCGCCUGCUCGCUCGCUUGCUGGCUGGCUCACCCCCUCGCCUACUUCUCAGGUUUGAUUCUUUGUUUUUCUUUUUUUUAGUUGUUUGGUGAAUAAAUUAUAGGAAAAAAAUAUUAUUUGGUGAAACAAGUUACAGAAAAAAAAUUUUAUUCUAUUUUUAAAAAAUCUGAAAAAAAAAUCUGAUUUUAUUAUACAAAAUUUGAAUUUAUUAUAAAAUCUGAUUUUAUUAUACAAAAUCUGAUUUUAUUACUCUAGCAUCUAUUUUAUUAAUAUCUUGGCUACUUGCAAUUCUUGUCCUUAGAACUAUUGAUAUUGAGUAAGUGAUUACACAGGGUUCGAUUCUAUGAAAGGAAAGAUAGUGUGCGGAAUUCAUGUGUAUUAGCAUUCUUUGAUGAUUUUUUUCUAUUUACAGAGAAGGUUGCUUUUCUUAUUUCUUAACUACAUUUCUGCAAUUUUGAAUGAGAGUUUUUAUGUGUUUAAUGUUUUGAGUACAGUGAUUUAGAUUACUGAAAUCUAUAGUUGAUAAAUAUCAUGCGUUUUGCUUAUUUUAUUUUAUUUUUUAUUUUUUUUGAAGGUUGGAGUCAGGUGGAUUAGAUAAUAAUGUUGAGAUAGGUGAAGUCUGUCUCAGAUGGUCUGUCACAGUAAACUGAAAAGGAUGGUGCUACAUAUACUACAAAAGGCCAAGAAGAGGCAGAUAGCUCAAGUGACUCUGUAUGAAGAUAAACUUGUAACAUGCGUAAACAAUGGCUGAACUCGGCUUCUUGUUUGUAGUAUGUAUUUUGCUAGUAAUAACUCUGAAAUAAUACUUAUUAUCUGGAUAGUUUAACUUGUAGAAUGUUCAAGUGAUCUGGAUGAUUUAACUUAUUGUAGAAUGUUUAUCAU